This 77-nucleotide transfer RNA is filed under the name Nocardioides sp. RNAcentral's name for it is "tRNA-Arg". It matches the Rfam family "tRNA". From Rfam's summary of the family: Transfer RNA (tRNA) molecules are approximately 80 nucleotides in length. Lineage: Bacteria; Bacillati; Actinomycetota; Actinomycetes; Propionibacteriales; Nocardioidaceae. RNAcentral also lists the same sequence under 5 other names. The record is from RNAcentral.
GCCCCCGUAGCUCAGCUGGAUAGAGCGGCGGCCUUCUAAUCCGCGGGUCACAGGUUCGAAUCCUGUCGGGGGCGCCA